RNAcentral lists this ribosomal RNA (411 nucleotides) under Ptychophallus montanus. RNAcentral's name for it is "partial 16S large subunit ribosomal RNA". It matches the Rfam family "Bacterial large subunit ribosomal RNA", at positions 1918 to 2597 of the family's 2925-position model. The record is from RNAcentral. Lineage: Eukaryota; Metazoa; Arthropoda; Malacostraca; Decapoda; Pseudothelphusidae.
UAAAAUUUAAUGGCCGCGGUAUUUAUGACCGUGCAAAGGUAGCAUAAUCAUUAGUCUUUUAAUUGAAGGCUUGUAUGAAUGGUUGGACAAAAGGAAAACUGUCUUCUUUUAUAAGGAUUGAAUUUAACUUUUAAGUGAAAAGGCUUAAAUAUUUCAAAGGGACAAUAAGACCCUAUAAAGCAUUGAGUUGGGGCAACAAGAGUAUAAUUAGUAACUGCUAAUGAGAUGUAUACAAGUAUAUUUGAAAUGAUCCUUAAUUAAAGAUUAAAAGAUUAAGUUACUUUAGGGAUAACAGCGUUAUUUUUUUUGAGAGUUCAUAUCGAAAAAAGAGUUUGCGACCUCGAUGUUGAAUUAAAAUUUCUAUGUGGUGCAGUUGUUAUAUAAGAGGGUCUGUUCGACCUUUAAUUUUUU